Molecule: ribosomal RNA, 442 nt
Filed under: uncultured bacterium
Lineage: Bacteria
Description: partial 16S ribosomal RNA
Rfam family: Bacterial small subunit ribosomal RNA
Source: RNAcentral
CCUACGGGCGGCAGCAGUGGGGAAUCUUGCACAAUGGGCGAAAGCCUGAUGCAGCAAUGCCGCGUGAGCGAAGAAGGCCCUUGGGUCGUUAAGCUCUGUUCUAAGGGAAGAAGGAAGUGACGGUACCUUAGGAGGAAGCCUCGGCUAACUACGUGCCAGCAGCCGCGGCAAUACGGAGGGGGCAAGCGUUCUCCGGAAUUAUUGGGCGUAAGGAGUACGUCGGCGGUUCUUUAAGCGCAGGGUUUAAGGCGAUAGCUUAACUAUCGUUCGCCCUGUGAACUGGGGGACUUGAGUAUCGGAGAGGAAAGCGGAAUGCCUGGUGUAGCGGUGAAAUGCGUAGAUAUUAGGAGGAACACCAGUGGCGAAGGCGGCUUUCUGGACGAAAACUGACGCUGAGGUACGAAAGCGUGGGGAGCAAACAGGAUUAGAUACCCGGGUAGUC